GACGAACGCUGGCGGCGUGCCUAAUACAUGCAAGUAGAACGCUGAAGAGAGGAGCUUGCUCUUCUUGGAUGAGUUGCGCACGGGUGAGUAACGCGUAGGUAACCUGCCUUGUAGCGGGGGAUAACUAUUGGAAACGAUAGCUAAUACCGCAUAACAAUGGAUGACACAUGUCAUUUAUUUGAAAGGGGCAAUUGCUCCACUACAAGAUGGACCUGCGUUGUAUUAGCUAGUAGGUGAGGUAAUGGCUCACCUAGGCGACGAUACAUAGCCGACCUGAGAGGGUGAUCGGCCACACUGGGACUGAGACACGGCCCAGACGCCUACGGGAGGCAGCAGGAGGGAAACUUCGGCAAGGGGGGCAACCCUGACCGAGCAACGCCGCGGGAGGGAAGAAGGUUUUCGGAUCGGAAAGCUCUGUUGUAAGUCAAGAACGGGUGUGAGAGUGGAAAGUUCACACUGUGACGGUAGCUUACCAGAAAGGGACGGCUAACUACGUG
This 497-nucleotide ribosomal RNA is filed under the name uncultured bacterium. RNAcentral describes it as "partial 16S ribosomal RNA". It matches the Rfam family "Bacterial small subunit ribosomal RNA", at positions 28 to 507 of the family's 1533-position model. The record is from RNAcentral.